GGAUGCGAUCAUACCAGCACUAAAGCACAGGAUCCCAUCAGAACUCCGAAGUUAAGCGUGCUUGGGCGAGAGUAGUACUAGGAUGGGUGACCUCCUGGGAAGUCCUCGUGUUGCAUUCCC
This 120-nucleotide ribosomal RNA is filed under the name Thinopyrum elongatum. The record is from RNAcentral. Lineage: Eukaryota; Viridiplantae; Streptophyta; Magnoliopsida; Poales; Poaceae.